AGUGAACGCUGGCGGUAGGCCUAACACAUGCAAGUCGAACGGCAGCACAGUAAGAGCUUGCUCUUACGGGUGGCGAGUGGCGGACGGGUGAGGAAUACAUCGGAAUCUACUUUUUCGUGGGGGAUAACGUAGGGAAACUUACGCUAAUACCGCAUACGACCUACGGGUGAAAGCAGGGGAUCUUCGGACCUUGCGCGAUUGAAUGAGCCGAUGUCGGAUUAGCUAGUUGGCGGGGUAAAGGCCCACCAAGGCGACGAUCCGUAGCUGGUCUGAGAGGAUGAUCAGCCACACUGGAACGGGGACAGAGUCCAGACUCCUAAGGGAGGCAGCAGUGGGGAAUAUUGGACAAUGGGCGCAAGCCUGAUCCAGCCAUACCGCGUGGGUGAAGAAGGCCUUCGGGUUGUAAAGCCCUUUUGUUGGGAAAGAAAAGCAGCAGGUUAAUACCCCGCUGUUCUGACGGUACCCAAAGAAUAAGCACCGGCUAACUUCGUG
RNAcentral lists this ribosomal RNA (492 nucleotides) under uncultured bacterium. RNAcentral describes it as "partial 16S ribosomal RNA". It matches the Rfam family "Bacterial small subunit ribosomal RNA", at positions 29 to 507 of the family's 1533-position model. The record is from RNAcentral.